Molecule: ribosomal RNA, 468 nt
Filed under: uncultured bacterium
Lineage: Bacteria
Description: partial 16S ribosomal RNA
Rfam family: Bacterial small subunit ribosomal RNA
Source: RNAcentral
GACGAACGCUGGCGGCGUGCUUAACACAUGCAAGUCGAACGGAAAGGCCCUGCUUUUGUGGGGUGCUCGAGUGGCGAACGGGUGAGUAACACGUGAGUAACCUGCCCUUGACUUUGGGAUAACUUCAGGAAACUGGGGCUAAUACCGGAUAGGAGCUCCUGCUGCACGGUGGGGGUUGGAAAGUUUCGGCGGUUGGGGAUGGACUCGCGGCUUAUCAGCUUGUUGGUGGGGUAGUGGCUUACCAAGGCUUUGACGAGUAGCCGGCCUGAGAGGGUGACCGGCCACAUUAGGACUGAGAUACGGCCCAGACUCCUACGGGAGGCAGCAGUGGGGAAUAUUGCACAAUGGGCGGAAGCCUGAUGCAGCAACGCCGCGUGCGGGAUGACGGCCUUCGGGUUGUAAACCGCUUUCGCCUGUGACGAAGCGUGAGUGACGGUAAUGGGUAAAGAAGCACCGGCUAACUACGUG